Long non-coding RNA from Ictalurus punctatus (channel catfish), 2856 nucleotides. NCBI's taxonomy places the organism in Eukaryota, Metazoa, Chordata, Actinopteri, Siluriformes, Ictaluridae. The record is from Ensembl.
UAUUAUGAAAUAUUAAGCUGUUUUUAAUAGCAGGCUUUGUAUCUAUGUUUUGUUUUUCUCCAAUGUCUUUGUUACAGUAUGAGGAAGCGCACAGAUAAAUGAGCUUAACUAAACCGAGUAAACCUGAUUCUCCAGCUCUGCAUGAGUCACUCCUGUGUGUGUGUGUGUGUGUGUGUGUGUGUGUGUGUGUGUGUGUGUGUGUGUGCGUGUGUGUGUGUGUGUGGUGUGUGUGUGUUGCGGUGGAUGGCGGCCCGAGUGAGCGGCUAUGUGAGAGUUUGACUUGCUGGCACGGUGUGUGUAACACGGUGUGUGUGUGUGUGUGUGUGUGUGUGUGUGUGUGUGUGUGUGUGUGUGUGGUGUGUGUGUGUUGCGGUGGAUGGCGGCCCGAGUGAGCGGCUAUGUGAGAGUUUGACUUGCUGGCACGGUGUGUGUAACACGGUGUGUGUGUGUGUGUGUGUGUGUGUGUGUGUGUGUGUGUGUGUGUGUGUGGUGUGUGUGUGUUGCGGUGGAUGGCGGCCCGAGUGAGCGGCUAUGUGAGAGUUUGACUUGCUGGCACGGUGUGUGUAACACGGUGUGUGUGUGUGUGUGUGUGUGUGUGUCGAAGCGCUGUGUGGAGUCGGAGACGGCCCUUUGUGGGUGGAGCAUAGAAAAAGUGCUGGGGGUUUUUUCGCGGAUUUUUUCCACGAGAUGGAACAUCCGAGAUGUUUACACAGAAUGCUACACAUACAAAGAGUUACUCCCUCACACAACAAACGUUAUGAAUCCGAGACGUUUACACGUUUAAAAGUUGCAUUAAAUACCGAAAAAAUGGCAAAACGCCAACCGCUCACGGGCUCAACACGCCACGCUCACUCCUCCACCAUCCGCAGAGAGAGAGAGUGUGCUUUCACAUAAGACGCGUUUGCAGUGCGCUACUGAUCCGUGUACGGAAACGCACCGCAAAAGGAGAAUGUGAAUCUGGCCAGAGAGAGAGAGAGAGAGAGAGAGAGAGAGAGAGAGAGAGAGGAGAGAGAGAGAGGGAGAGAGAGAGAGAGAGACCAGCCCCCGGCCUCGGGGAGGGAGUUUCCUGAGUUACACUGCACAGCGUUUGACUCGUUAAUUCUACGUAUAGCUCCUAGAGAGAUGGCAGAAGUCGCUCGCGCACCCGCGUUGGCCAACGCGCCCAAGAGAACGCGGCUUCAAGGAGAAGCGCUGCGUGUCUCUCGCCGCUCUGAAGAAAGAUUUGGCUAUCGGCGGAUACGAUGUGGAGAACAACUUCCGCGUCAAGCUCGACGUCACUGGCACUCUGGUGCAGACCAAAGUUUCUUACAAGACCAAACAGCUCUUACAAGUUGAACAAGAAGCAGACCGAAGCCAAGAAGCCCGCAAGGAAAGCCGCGUACAAAGCGAAAAAAUCCGCGGCUAAGAAGCCCAAGAAGGUAGCAGCCAAGAAACCGGCGCGGCCAAUGGUGGCCAGAGUGAGCGGCUAUGUGAGAGUUUGACUUGCUGGCACGGUGUGUGUAACACGGUGUGUGUGUGUGUGUGUGUGUGUGUGUGUGUGUGUGUGUGUGUGUGUGUGUGUGUGUGUGUGUGUGUUACACCGGUCGAAGCGCUGUGUGGAGUCGGAGGCGGUCCUUUGUGGGUGAUGAACUGUCGGACCUGGAAAGUGACAACGACGCUGGAAGCAAAAUACUUCGACACUGCCGAAGAAAGCACCCGUCGGGAUUCUACUAGCGAGGUGCCUUGAUUUACUUCAAUCAUUUAGAGGAUACUAUUACAGCUUCGGUGAAUCUUCCACCAGAAUUUCCUCUCCAAAACAAUAGAGUGCUACAGUGGUAAGAAAGUCUGAGAUUGAGGAACAAGACACAACAAUGGAGCAUUCCCACCUCACUGAGAUGGAGAGUCAGGAGGCCCUGAUACAAGCACUGGCAAAUCUCCAACAGAUGCUGCAGAGCUUAAUGCAGCAACUGGAAUCAAAUCGCCAAAAAAAAGCCGUCUUGCAGGGGUCGGAGCAACAUCGCCAGAUUUUUCACUCCUUGACCCUCAGUGAGUUCGACAAUCUUUUUGCAUUUGCUCAGCAGCUCCAAGACAGUUGUCAAAAGUGCUCGCUAAGCAUUGUGACCCUCAAAGGAUUGUAGAGCUUGUGGUAAUAGAGCAGUUCAUGAAACAGCUUCCAGAAGGGACAUCCGACUGGGUUACACAUCACCAACCAGCAACAAUAAACGAGGCCAUCCAAUUGGCAGUGAACCACCUGCCACCUUUUGCUGUCUCUCCCCCUUAACAUCUCCCCUGCCUGAUACAUUGGAUAAGGUACAGAGGGUGAAGUUGAGGUGUGUCAUGGGAUCUUUCACAAACAUCCACUGGUGCUGAUCAUGAUCACUUUCUGGGGACAAAACCAGGUCCGGUCUGUGGUUAGUCCUCGUUUGAACCAUCCACUGUUUUUGGAUUUUGUCAAUAUGAUCAAUAAACAAUCUUUUUCAGUGGUCAGUAAUCUGUAUUUGGUUAUGAUUUUCAUUAGUGUGGGGCUUUUCAUUUUUGUGAUUAAAGAAAGUGGUCUGUUUUUUGGUUUUAUCUUUUCGUCUGUCUUUUGGUUUUGAAUUAUUCAUUUGUUUUUGAUUCAAGUAGUUGAUUCUGUUGUGUGAGAGUUUGACUUGUCGACACAGUGUGUGUGACACGGUGUGUGUGAGACACAGUUUGUGUGGUUUAUCUGUGUAAACAUCUCGGAUUAUCUCUGUGAGUUUAAUGUCAUAUGAUGACAGUCUGCCAUUCAGAUGUGGAUUCACAUUCUGUGUUAAAGUUUCAGUCCUGAUUCAGGAGUUGUACACAGCUGAUUGGUGCAGGUCUCCUACACUGGUGAUGAUGGUUACGGUGGUGGUG